GGCGGUUGACAGGGUUCAGGACGCACUACCCCAGAAUAUGGCACCCGGGCAUACUGAACAGUUGAGGCUGCGGGAGUCAAUGACAGAAGUGGAGGGGUCUCUCCGUCCCCUGCUCGCCCUUCUCCCCUGAGGCGGGUCCUAAGACCCUCUUGUGAGUGGGCCCUCCCUCUGCCUGAAGGAAGGAAACACCCUCAUCUGCAAGACACGCAGAGGCUGAGAAGACACAAGCCAACAGGCCUUGCAAAGUUUUCCCAGUUUAUUACAUUUAGCUCGUGCCCCUCUGUCCUGUCCUGUGUUUGCACAACUGUCCACUCCUCACCAAACCUGCCAUUGAAACCACGCCGAACCAGUUCUUCAGGUCUGCGUUUCCUCUUGAAGGCUUCCAUGUCACAGAAAAUAUAUUAAAUAAAUUGUAUGCUCUUUUCCCAGUAAUGUGUCUUUUCUUGUCACCUUAAUUCUAGAUCUACCUGGCCAGGGACCCUAAGAGGGUUAAGGAGAACAUUUUCCUCCCCUACACAGUCUUCCAAAACCUUGGAUAAAAGACCUCCUUUUCCUGCACAGCACAGCGUCAACAUGGACUGGUGACUCGGAGGCUGGUUUCACUGCCGUGUGAGGGUCUCCUGCUCUGCACCGCAAAAAAGCACGGGA
Molecule: long non-coding RNA, 648 nt
Organism: Phyllostomus discolor (pale spear-nosed bat)
Lineage: Eukaryota; Metazoa; Chordata; Mammalia; Chiroptera; Phyllostomidae
Exons: 3
Source: RefSeq, a predicted model, not a curated record